GCGUGGGUCGGCCCGCUGUACUGGAUCCAGUGGGCUGGGGGACACCGCCGCCUACAUCCCCGCGGGCGGCGGACCGGUCCGGGAGGCGAACUCCGCCUCCCGGACUGUG
Non-coding RNA from Streptomyces sp. WAC00263, 109 nucleotides. Lineage: Bacteria; Bacillati; Actinomycetota; Actinomycetes; Kitasatosporales; Streptomycetaceae. The record is from Rfam.